Non-coding RNA from Phthorimaea operculella (potato tuberworm), 72 nucleotides. The record is from the annotation of a GenBank genome assembly. Lineage: Eukaryota; Metazoa; Arthropoda; Insecta; Lepidoptera; Gelechiidae.
GCAUCGAUAGCUCAGAGGCACAGCGGUGGGGCGUUUACCCAUGCGGCCCGGGUUCGAUCCCCGGUCGAUGCA